RNAcentral lists this unclassified non-coding RNA (239 nucleotides) under uncultured fungus. RNAcentral's name for it is "sequence contains ITS2". The record is from RNAcentral. Lineage: Eukaryota; Fungi. RNAcentral also lists the same sequence under 1 other name.
AACGCACAUUGCGCCCUUUGGCAUUCCGAAGGGCAUGCCCGUUCGAGCGUCAUUACACCAAUCAAGCCUGGCUUGGUAUUGGGCGUCGGGGACCCUCCCCCGCGCCCCCAAUUCGUCGGCUGGACGGUUCGAAUCUCAGCGUUGUGGUCAAUCAAUUCGCUGGCGACGACGACCGGACGCGCCGUUAAACCUCACUACAGGUUGACCUCGGAUCGGGUAGGGAUACCCGCUGAACUUAA